This is a non-coding RNA of Camelina sativa (false flax), 1054 nucleotides long. NCBI's taxonomy places the organism in Eukaryota, Viridiplantae, Streptophyta, Magnoliopsida, Brassicales, Brassicaceae. The record is from RefSeq and is a predicted model, not a curated record.
UCGACAGAAGAAGAAAAAGAAAUGAAACGACAAGGCGGUGGUGGGAUUGAAGAAGAAGAAGAAGAAGAAAUGAACCGACAAGGCAGUGGUGGACAACGGCUGAGAUCAGCUAGACCCACCACAAUUCACGAUUGUGCUCUCUCCGGUGGACAACGGCUGAGAUCAGAAGAAAUGAACGCAAUCUCGUCGUAUGUCCCCUUCCCCACUUUCUUUUCUUCUGUGUUGUGCUGAAUUCCAAAUUUGUUACUUAAAAAACUCCGAUUUCGAUAUGCGUUUGGUUCGGUACCGUAUCGAUUUAGACUAGUGAAUGAAUUUGAAGUUUUGAUGGUGAAUUUGCAUUCGAAUCUGGUGAAAUCGCAUGCCCUUUGGUUUUGACUCGUUGUCAAAGAUUACGCCUCCAAUAAUAUAUAGCGGUUUGGACAAUUGGGAUGUUGAUGGUCUCCUUGGGGCUGACUUGCUCUCUGAGAUCGAAAAACAGAUGUGCAACGAGACCAGAAUACUGCAUGUACACUAUUUGAAGAUGCUAGAAAUCUUAACAAGCGAGAUAAAGAAGGGGCAAAUAAAGAAAAAGUUUGAUGCUUAUAGCUUCUUUAAAGUAGAGCAGAGUAAAGUAGACAGAGUAUAUGAUAUGCUGAUUCAGAAGGGAAUAGGUGGCGAGUCAACAUGACUCAUUAGCUUCAUGGUCCCUAACAUGUAAUUCUCAAACAUAUAUUAGCCAUGUACAUAUAAAGGAAGGUGAUGCUGAUUUUGGUUCCACAUCUUGUGCUAUGUUAGUUUUGACAGCUUGGCAAUGUCUGAUUGUUAUCUCCUUGAAGAGUGGUGCUUUUAUUGAAGCUAAAGCUAGUAACGGUAUGACACCAUUGCACCUUGCGGUUUGGUACUCAAUUACUUCCAAAGAUAUCUCAACUGUUAAGACACUGCUCGACAAUAACGCAGAUUGCAGUGCCAAAGAUAAAAUCAAAAUGGGAAAAGUUUGGCACAAAUCAAAAUUAAAAUUAAUUAUUUUGUAAUCUAUUUUUAAUAUGCGUUUAUGUCAUGUUUGUUUAAACUUUUA